AACGCUAGCUACAGGCUUAACACAUGCAAGUCGAGGGGCAUCAGGAAGAAAGCUUGCUUUCUUUGCUGGCGACCGGCGCACGGGUGAGUAACACGUAUCCAACCUGCCCUUUACUCGGGGAUAGCCUUUCGAAAGAAAGAUUAAUACCCGAUGGCAUAAUGAUUCCGCAUGGUUUCAUUAUUAAAGGAUUCCGGUAAAGGAUGGGGAUGCGUUCCAUUAGGUUGUUGGUGAGGUAACGGCUCACCAAGCCUUCGAUGGAUAGGGGUUCUGAGAGGAAGGUCCCCCACAUUGGAACUGAGACACGGUCCAAACUCCUACGGGAGGCAGCAGUGAGGAAUAUUGGUCAAUGGGCGCUAGCCUGAACCAGCCAAGUAGCGUGAAGGAUGAAGGCUCUAUGGGUCGUAAACUUCUUUUAUAUAAGAAUAAAGUGCAGUAUGUAUACUGUUUUGUAUGUAUUAUAUGAAUAAGGAUCGGCUAACUCCGUGCCAGCAGCCGCGGUAAUACGGAGGAUCCGAGCGUUAUCCGGAUUUAUUGGGUUUAAAGGGAGCGUAGGUGGACUGGUAAGUCAGUUGUGAAAGUUUGCGGCUCAACCGUAAAAUUGCAGUUGAUACUGUCAGUCUUGAGUACAGUAGAGGUGGGCGGAAUUCGUGGUGUAGCGGUGAAAUGCUUAGAUAUCACGAAGAACUCCGAUUGCGAAGGCAGCUCACUGGACUGCAACUGACACUGAUGCUCGAAAGUGUGGGUAUCAAACAGGAUUAGAUACCCUGGUAGUCCACACAGUAAACGAUGAAUACUCGCUGUUUGCGAUAUACAGUAAGCGGCCAAGCGAAAGCAUUAAGUAUUCCACCUGGGGAGUACGCCGGCAACGGUGAAACUCAAAGGAAUUGACGGGGGCCCGCACAAGCGGAGGAACAUGUGGUUUAAUUCGAUGAUACGCGAGGAACCUUACCCGGGCUUAAAUUGCAGUGGAAUGAUGUGGAAACAUGUCAGUGAGCAAUCACCGCUGUGAAGGUGCUGCAUGGUUGUCGUCAGCUCGUGCCGUGAGGUGUCGGCUUAAGUGCCAUAACGAGCGCAACCCUUAUCUUUAGUUACUAACAGGUUAUGCUGAGGACUCUAGAGAGACUGCCGUCGUAAGAUGUGAGGAAGGUGGGGAUGACGUCAAAUCAGCACGGCCCUUACGUCCGGGGCUACACACGUGUUACAAUGGGGGGUACAGAAGGCAGCUAGCGGGUGACCGUAUGCUAAUCCCAAAAGCCUCUCUUAGUUCGGAUCGAAGUCUGCAACCCGACUUCGUGAAGCUGGAUUCGCUAGUAAUCGCGCAUCAGCCACGGCGCGGUGAAUACGUUCCCGGGCCUUGUACACACCGCCCGUCAAGCCAUGGGAGCCGGGGGUACCUGAAGUACGUAACCGCAAGGAUCGUCCUAGGGUAAAACUGGAGACUG
Molecule: ribosomal RNA, 1442 nt
Filed under: uncultured organism
Description: SSU rRNA
Rfam family: Bacterial small subunit ribosomal RNA
Source: RNAcentral